UUAACAUUUCCAAUGCGCUUAAGUAGGCAGGAGCAGCAUAACUGGCGGCCGAGGAACCCUGCUCGAUGAAUGAAAUCAUUCACAACAAGCUACUAGCUGCUGCUAGCCUGCUAGGCUAACUUGACGUUAAGCAGCAGACAGCAGACCGACCAGAUGAACUGGCUCCCUCUGCCUCCACACUGUCGACUGUUGAUGGCACGCCGCGCCCCUCCGGCUUCCCCUCUCUCCGCUCGCUUGUUUUACCAACCUCUCUCCCCCUGUGAGAGACGGAAAACAUCGGCUCGCCAGUCACACUUACAUAUUUUACCCCGCAGGCUCUGUAAAAUCCGAAUCCCCGCGUCGUCCUCUUCCGCCAUGGUAAGAGCUGACUGUUAUCGCUUCUCCGGUGCAUUCAACGCUGGUUUAUCAUAUCCGUUUAUGAAUGCAGGCAGAGUGGAGGAAAGCCAGCCCCACUGCCGCGUCACGUCAGGUCCCGUACACACUGGUGCCUUAAAACGUGUGGCGAAGCUUCCUCAUAUGAGUCGAGCGCCUUGCUUUGGCUAGUACUUAAAUCUGGAAAUGGGGCACUGGCCAGUCAUAAAGGAUGUCAGAAUGUAUUGCAAAUAUCAGCUGCAGUUUCAUUCAAGAGCAAUGAGGGUGAUGUUGCUUUUGGUUGGGUGAAAACACAGGUCUGAUCCUCAUCGCUGACAGUAGCAGGGAGCCUAAAAGGGCAGUCAGGAUCCUCUCUCCAAAAACAGAACCAACUUGUUCUACAGAUGAGGGGUGGAAAGCACAGCCUGGACGUCAAAUGACAGAUUUCCAUUCAAGCGAAUGCUGAACACAAACUUAAAAUUUUUUUUUUAUUAAGAAUAAGUGAAAAAGAUUUUCAGAAUCACAGACAAAAUGUACUGUCUGGGCAGUAAUUGGAUUUCUAUUCUGAUGAAGAACACUUACGCUGUAGCAUUUUCUGAUGUAUAAAAUCAGAAUGGGAUGUCUUCAGCUCUUUGGGUGCAGCGCCCCGGGCGUCAAGUCGCACAGAAAUCUCCCAUGAUGUCCAUAUUACCUAAAGUUAGAUAGAAAUAAACAGUAAGGGCAGAGUGAAAAUAUUAUGACUUAAUUCCAAGAGAAUCUUAUGGUGCAUGUGAAUCAUGAAUAUUAAAAAUAAAUGACCUGAGGCAUGUUGGAUUUUUA
This is a long non-coding RNA of Perca flavescens (yellow perch), 1170 nucleotides long. RefSeq lists it as uncharacterized. The transcript has 4 exons. NCBI's taxonomy places the organism in Eukaryota, Metazoa, Chordata, Actinopteri, Perciformes, Percidae. The record is from RefSeq and is a predicted model, not a curated record.